RNAcentral lists this ribosomal RNA (1805 nucleotides) under Enterobacter hormaechei. Its description in RNAcentral is "bacterial LSU rRNA". It matches the Rfam family "Bacterial large subunit ribosomal RNA", at positions 398 to 2187 of the family's 2925-position model. The record is from RNAcentral. Lineage: Bacteria; Pseudomonadati; Pseudomonadota; Gammaproteobacteria; Enterobacterales; Enterobacteriaceae.
UGUGAACUCGAAGAGUAGGGCGGGACACGUGGUAUCCUGUCUGAAUAUGGGGGGACCAUCCUCCAAGGCUAAAUACUCCUGACUGACCGAUAGUGAACCAGUACCGUGAGGGAAAGGCGAAAAGAACCCCGGCGAGGGGAGUGAAAAAGAACCUGAAACCGUGUACGUACAAGCAGUGGGAGCCUCUUUAUGGGGUGACUGCGUACCUUUUGUAUAAUGGGUCAGCGACUUAUAUUCUGUAGCAAGGUUAACCGUAUAGGGGAGCCGAAGGGAAACCGAGUCUUAACUGGGCGUUAAGUUGCAGGGUAUAGACCCGAAACCCGGUGAUCUAGCCAUGGGCAGGUUGAAGGUUGGGUAACACUAACUGGAGGACCGAACCGACUAAUGUUGAAAAAUUAGCGGAUGACCUGUGGCUGGGGGUGAAAGGCCAAUCAAACCGGGAGAUAGCUGGUUCUCCCCGAAAGCUAUUUAGGUAGCGCCUCGUGAACUCAUCUUCGGGGGUAGAGCACUGUUUCGGCUAGGGGGCCAUCCCGGCUUACCAACCCGAUGCAAACUACGAAUACCGAAGAAUGUUAUCACGGGAGACACACGGCGGGUGCUAACGUCCGUCGUGAAGAGGGAAACAACCCAGACCGCCAGCUAAGGUCCCAAAGUCAUGGUUAAGUGGGAAACGAUGUGGGAAGGCACAGACAGCCAGGAUGUUGGCUUAGAAGCAGCCAUCAUUUAAAGAAAGCGUAAUAGCUCACUGGUCGAGUCGGCCUGCGCGGAAGAUGUAACGGGGCUAAACCAUGCACCGAAGCUGCGGCAGCGACACUAUGUGUUGUUGGGUAGGGGAGCGUUCUGUAAGCCGUUGAAGGUGUGCUGUGAGGCAUGCUGGAGGUAUCAGAAGUGCGAAUGCUGACAUAAGUAACGAUAAAGCGGGUGAAAAGCCCGCUCGCCGGAAGACCAAGGGUUCCUGUCCAACGUUAAUCGGGGCAGGGUGAGUCGACCCCUAAGGCGAGGCCGAAAGGCGUAGUCGAUGGGAAACAGGUUAAUAUUCCUGUACUUGGUGUUACUGCGAAGGGGGGACGGAGAAGGCUAUGUCAGCCGGGCGACGGUUGUCCCGGUUUAAGCAUGUAGGCGGAGGUUCCAGGUAAAUCCGGUACCUUUUAACGCUGAGGUGUGAUGACGAGGCACUACGGUGCUGAAGUGAUAAAUGCCCUGCUUCCAGGAAAAGCCUCUAAGCAUCAGGUAACACGAAAUCGUACCCCAAACCGACACAGGUGGUCAGGUAGAGAAUACCAAGGCGCUUGAGAGAACUCGGGUGAAGGAACUAGGCAAAAUGGUGCCGUAACUUCGGGAGAAGGCACGCUGAUAUGUAGGUGAAGCCCCUGCGGGCGGAGCUGAAAUCAGUCGAAGAUACCAGCUGGCUGCAACUGUUUAUUAAAAACACAGCACUGUGCAAACACGAAAGUGGACGUAUACGGUGUGACGCCUGCCCGGUGCCGGAAGGUUAAUUGAUGGGGUUAGCGGCAACGCGAAGCUCUUGAUCGAAGCCCCGGUAAACGGCGGCCGUAACUAUAACGGUCCUAAGGUAGCGAAAUUCCUUGUCGGGUAAGUUCCGACCUGCACGAAUGGCGUAAUGAUGGCCAGGCUGUCUCCACCCGAGACUCAGUGAAAUUGAACUCGCUGUGAAGAUGCAGUGUACCCGCGGCAAGACGGAAAGACCCCGUGAACCUUUACUAUAGCUUGACACUGAACACUGGUCCUUGAUGUGUAGGAUAGGUGGGAGGCUUUGAAGCGUGGACGCCAGUCUGCGUGGAGCC